Molecule: ribosomal RNA, 241 nt
Filed under: uncultured bacterium
Lineage: Bacteria
Description: partial 16S ribosomal RNA
Rfam family: Bacterial small subunit ribosomal RNA
Source: RNAcentral
UACAGAGGUCCCCAAGCGUUGUUCGGAUUCACUGGGCGUAAAAGGGUGCGUAGGCGGCCGGGUAAGUCUGAUGUGAAAUCUCCGAGCUCAACUCGGAAAUGGCAUUGGAAACUAUUCGGCUAGAGGUCUGGAGGGGGGACUGGAAUUCUCGGUGUAGCAGUGAAAUGCGUAGAGAUCGUGAGGAAGACCAGUGGCGAAGGCGGGUCUCUGGACAGUUCCUGACACUGAGGCACGAAGGCCA